Molecule: non-coding RNA, 463 nt
Organism: Elephantulus edwardii (Cape elephant shrew)
Lineage: Eukaryota; Metazoa; Chordata; Mammalia; Macroscelidea; Macroscelididae
Source: the annotation of a RefSeq genome assembly
AUGUCCCAAGCAACACAGCAAAACAUCAUGAAGAGGCAAUUGAUCAUUCUGCUGGGACUUCUGUAUGCUCAGAUUUGCUGUGUGAGAGGGGCGCAGGUGGAGCAGAGCCCUCCAGUCCUGAGCCUCCUGGAGGGAGAGAGCUACACCCUGAGGUGCAAUUUUUCUACUAGUAUGUACAACGUGCAGUGGUUUCAUCAAAAUCCUGAAGGACGCCUCAUCAGCCUGUUUUACAUUUCUUCAGGGACACAGCAGAAGGGAAGAUUAAAUGCCACGACAGUUACUACAGAACGUCUCAGUUUAUUACACAUUUCCUCUUCCCAGACCACAGAUUCAGGCAUUUAUCUCUGUGCUGUGGAGCCACAGUGCUUCCCCAGCACCUGCAGCCUGCACACAAACUCUCAAGCCUGUGUACACAGACACGGGUCCAUGCUACAAAUUUCCCACAGCAACAUUGCAAGCUUAA